Molecule: RNA transcript, 1190 nt
Organism: Lycium ferocissimum
Lineage: Eukaryota; Viridiplantae; Streptophyta; Magnoliopsida; Solanales; Solanaceae
Exons: 5
Source: RefSeq, a predicted model, not a curated record
CUUGUUGUCCAAAAUAAGGCGCAAAUAUUUGUGUGGCUAGAAAGCAUUUCAUUAAGGGUAAAAUGAGAAGUUUAAAGUUCACUCGUUACUAUAUAUAGAGAGGUGUCCUUCUCUUUGGGACGGACUAAAAUGGAAAGAGUGUCACAUAAUUUGGGACGGAAGCAGUAUAGGUUUUGAGCCAAAGUUAAUGGGUUCAGAUAAACAUGUAACAUAUGCUAUGUAUGGUUAAGUCCAAAUUUUCUCUUUUUUGCAAGUAAAAAGACCCAUUUUUCAACACCCAUUAUUAUUAGUAAUUCAUCACAGAACCUAAAAUAUUGUGCAACAAUUUUGGUUUCUCUGGACUUGCUUUUACAACUCUAAUUGUGGGCCCUGCCUCUGGUUUUGAGUUAGCUAUAAUGGGUUCUUCUUCUUUUCAGUUCAAUGAACCUUCUAAUGCUCUGUCAUUACACACCUGGGCUAGUCAUGUUUCCAGUGUUGUUGAAUGGAUUACCGCUAUGGCUCUCGUUUGGCAAUACGGGGAGAAGUCAGGGUAUGAAUCUUGGAAGGGACUCUCCUGGGCAAUGGUGCCCCUGCUGGGAGGAGCACUCUGUGCCUGCACUUGGCAUUUCUUUUAUAACUCGGAGUCUCUUGAGGUAGUAGUGGCUCUCCAAGCGGCUUUGACAGUAAUAGGUAAUGCCACAAUGUGCUUUGCAGCAUUCCGGAUAUACAGAUCACCAGAGAAGCAGUCAAAAAAAUUGUGAGCGUCGUUGAGUCUAGUGUGUACUUUCUCCAGUCUCCUCGCCCCGAUCAGUUUCUGUUUCUAAGUCUAACAGGAAGAUACGAACAUAUGGCGUGUAGUGAGAAAUGAUGUGUAAAACGCGAUGAAGUCGUUGCUUUCAUGGGUAAGAAAUGAGGAGUUUUUAGCAAGAAGAUAUACCAGUGUGCAUUGAGCUAUCUCCGGUAGAAAUCAGAAGUGGAUCCAGGAUUUGUUCAACCUUCUAGGUUUUUAGACUGAAUUUAUUGUACUUCUGAAAUUAUGUGUUUGGGAGUUAAUAUUUGUUGAGAUUUUAGUGAUGUUUUCACAUAUAUAUCUAUGUUUUCAUGUCACGAAUAAAGAAGGAUUCAUCUGCCUCUAGACGAAGGAUCUAAAAUAUUUUUUUUUUUGUUUUUUUGUUUUUUUGGUAAUAGUGAAGUUUGAAUCAGUUUGUGCG